Non-coding RNA from Rattus rattus (black rat), 1520 nucleotides. The record is from the annotation of a RefSeq genome assembly. Lineage: Eukaryota; Metazoa; Chordata; Mammalia; Rodentia; Muridae.
GAUGAGGAGACUGUACUCAUGCUGCCCCACCCGAGAAGAACAGCCACAACUUACGCACUGAUCUGACCAACUUGUGUUGGCCAGGAAACUCAGAACUGCUCAUAACUACAGCAGACCAUGAAGAACCCUGGCUCACAAGCCCUCUUUCCUUUACAUCUUCCCUGGAAAGCCAGCCUGGCAGAUGGGAAUCCACUCCUGAAAGUAGUCAUAUUUUCAUGCCUCUUGACCUUUGGACAUGGGAAGUUGGAGCAACCUGAAAUAUCAAUAUCCAGAGCCAGAGAUGAGACUGCUGAAAUAUCCUGUAAGGUUUUUGUUGAAAGCUUUCAAAGUGUAGCCAUACACUGGUACCGGCAGAAACCAAACCAAGGUUUAGAGUUUCUAUUAUAUGUCCUCGCAACUCCUACCGAGACUUUCUUAAAUAAGAAGUACAAAAAAAUGAAGGCAAGUAAAAAUUCUAGUGCUUCUACAUCGAUAUUGACAAUAUAUUCCUUGGAGGAAGAAGACGAAGCUAUCUACUACUGUUCCUACGGUGAUAGCUCGGGCUGGAGCAAAGUAUUUGCAGAAGGAACUAAACUCAUAGUAAUUCCUGCUGACAAAAGCUUUAAUGCAGACAUUUCCCCCAAGCCCACCAUUUUUCUUCCUUCUUCUGCUGAAACAAAUCUCCACAAGACUGGGACAUACCUUUGCCUCCUUGAAAAGUUCUUCCCCGAUGUCAUAAGGGUGUACUGGAAAGAAAAGGACAGCAAUGCGGUCCUGGACUCCCAGGAAGGGGAGACGCUGAAGACUAACGACACAUACAUGAAGUUUAGCUGGCUUACUGUCCCUGAAGGGUCAAUGGGUAAAGAGCACAGAUGUAUUGUCAAACACGAGAACAACAAAGGAGGAGCAGACCAAGAGAUUUUCUUUCCUUCAAUAAAGAAAGUUGCUGUGAGUACCCAACCUACAACUUGCUGGCAAGAUAAAGAUGAUGUGCUGCAGCUCCAGUUCACGGGCACCUCUGCCUACUAUACUUACCUGCUCCUGCUCCUCAAGAGCGUGCUCUACUUGGCCAUCAUCAGCUUCUUUCUGCUUAGAAGAACAGCUGCCUGUGGCAAUAAGAAGAGAUCCUAAGGAAAUAAACGGUGGACCAGCAAGUCCGUUGAUUUUUAUCGUCAUAAAGGUGCCUUAUGGGGGUCCAGCUGCCUUCUCUUGCUGGCUUUGACUUCUGUAAAGUCACAUGCACAGCAUUCUGUAUUGUGCAAACAUUUUUCUCACAUUUGUAAGCGAUUUCAGCAACUUCUCUCUAACUGAGCUCACCUCCUUCCUGAUUCCAUCCUCUCCAGCAGUCCCCUCCCCCAGAAGCCCAAAGUAGCAAAGCUCUGGUACACAUAGGCUGCAGGUUUUACCCACGGCAUUUGUUGCUCUUGAAGCAGCCAACUCUCUGAAAGCCUCCGCUCUAGACAACCUGAAGAGCCUUCUUUAUUGUUGGAUUCUGUGCCUUGUAUUUCAUAUUAGAGACAAUAAAUAUUUUUUAAAAAUCA